GUGCAGCAGGCGCGAAACCUUUACACUGCACGAAAGUGCGAUAAGGCCAUACCGAGUGCCAUCCGCUGAGGGUGGCUUUUCUCAGGUCUAAACAGCCUGAGGAAUAAGGGGAGGGCAAGUCUGGUGUCAGCCGCCGCGGUAAUACCAGCUCCCCGAGUGGUCAGGACGAUUAUUUGGCCUAAAGCAUCCGUAGCCGGCUUCGUGGGUCUCUUGUAAAAUCCAACGGCUCAACCGUUGGACUGCAGGGGAUACCGCGGGGCUAGGGGGCGGGAGAGGCGGACGGUACUCCAUAGGUAGGGGUAAAAUCCUUUGAUCUAUGGAAGACCACCAGUGGCGAAGGCGGUCCGCUAGAACGCGCCCGACGGUGAGGGAUGAAAGCUGGGGGAGCGAACCGGAUUAGAUACCCCGGGUAGUCC
This 416-nucleotide ribosomal RNA is filed under the name uncultured crenarchaeote. RNAcentral describes it as "partial 16S ribosomal RNA". It matches the Rfam family "Archaeal small subunit ribosomal RNA", at positions 330 to 747 of the family's 1478-position model. Lineage: Archaea; Thermoproteati; Thermoproteota. The record is from RNAcentral.